This is a long non-coding RNA of Frieseomelitta varia, 2379 nucleotides long. RefSeq lists it as uncharacterized. Lineage: Eukaryota; Metazoa; Arthropoda; Insecta; Hymenoptera; Apidae. The record is from RefSeq and is a predicted model, not a curated record. The transcript is spliced from 4 exons.
UCACUUGCUUGCCGGUCUAUCAAGGCCGUUGGGAAAUGAAAAUCGUUCCUUUCUGACCGACUGAUAUCUUACGGUCUUGCGGAAUCCAAAAGAUUGCGAACGGGAAAAGGGUGGGUCGAUGGGAUAAAAUAUGGCACCUGGUAUGGACGCAGGUUCCUAAACAACAAGAUUGCAGAGGAGGUAAACGAGAACAGAAGAGACGAUGCACUUCAUAAUCAUUCUCAUUUCCAUACGGAAGUUAUCUAUUACCCUGAGCGUGAGCAUCGAACCAUUACGUUCCAUUUAAUUAACAAUGUGGCGGGCAAGCGUCAAUCUCGAAGCGCCUCGUGCAACCGAUGUAAACCACGCGUUAAAAUCAAUCAUCACUAGGCUCACCCGGUGAACAACGAUUAGCCUGCGGAUUAACCGCCAGGAUGGAGCUAGUGAACUUUAGAUCAAUCAUUAGAAAGGAGUUGCCUGGAUAUCUGGAACUGUCAAUUCCAAACUCUGGAGAUCUAACAAAUCUCGCUUCAUUUCCUCCGAUGGGUAGUAUAGAGUGAAUUAAGAGACCAAUAAGAAAUCAAUAUCACCGGGAGUAUCGUGGUAAACAACGGGGUCUGUGGACUGUGCGAAGCCAAUGGAAUGGUACUAGACGUUCUUAAUGCAUUUAACGUGGAAUGCAACUCUUACGUUCACUGGAUCGACCGGCGCGGCUCGUUUCGUCCGACGUUAACCGAGCUACAAUGCGAGCCGCUACAAUAUAAGCCUUUGAGCGGCGCAAAAAUGUGAGCGGUAACCGUGGGCGAUACGAUCGUCAUUUAAUAAUUUACGGCUGGGUGGUCUACUUACGGAUCAAGAUGAAAAUCCAUCAUCGCUUUUGCAAAAAAAAAAAAAAAAAAAAAAAGAUAGCUCACGCUCUCGAAGAGAACAGCGUAUCGAUCUCGGUUAAGGUAGCGAGGAUCAUUGGUCAGCGAUGAAGAAACGAAUUGCAACGCUCAUUGUACACGCUUGUUCGCAAGUUGAUUUUGAUAGGAGCGAUCGCAACACGCUUUGAAAGUUGCUCGAAGUACACAUCUGGCUUGAUCAAGUUUUGACCAAGGAGGGAUGCGUGAUUUACGAGCUUGUGAUUAUGAGGAAUUGCUAAUGGAACUGUCUGCAAACUCCUUCUUGUUACAAAAACAGAUUGGUCGUAAUGUGAAUUUAAUGAAUCGCGACGUGAUAAAAAAAUUUGGGCACAACCUGUAUCAAACUGGACAGCGAUUGUAAUCUAGUGAUGCUCGUCUGUGAUCAUAAUCUACACAAUCUGACAGGAGUUACCAUUCACUCCAGAGACACUGAAAUCACCUGAAUCCCAAAUUAUUCCACUCUCGGUGUUGAGCGUUAACCACUAGCGCUGGCAACUGAUUGCAGACCAUAACGAGCGACCGAACCGUAUACAAUAAUUCGUCGAGGACGCGAGAGGAAAAUAGGAAAAGUGGUCCAGGAAGCCUAAUCGCGACGACCGGGGCCCGGAUUACGCGGAACACGUCCAGCGGUACAGGUUUAACGGUAAAGGCGGAUAAACGGCUCAUCUGCGGUGUUCGUACGAUUCCUUAAACGAUGACGAAACGUCGGGAAUGUUUCGUGGUGCACCGCGUGCGCGCUGCACGGUCACGAUCAGGAAUGUCCUUUUGCGAGCUGACGUUCGCGUGCCUUCGAUCCACAUUCCGCAGUCCUGCCAAGAAUGCGCAUCGCCAGUUGUAAACGAUGCCCGUAGAAAAACCGCUACACGGCCCGACUUAAACAAAAGAGCGAGAAAGAGAGAGAGAGGGGCCUGGUGGAUGAAAAUAAUUACUAACGAAUUCGAAAUGCCCGAUCAUGACUGUUUUCACUCAGACGGCGCUAAUUCAACAGAACUGAUUUGAUUUCACUUGGAAUGAAGAUGUGAAGUCGCGGGACAAAGACAGUAGAUAGAUAAUUUAUAUACCUCCGCGGGAAAUGAUUGCGGAUGAAAUUUUCAUAAUUUUCUUUUUGUAGGAGAAAUUAUUUCCAAGAGCGCGCGUUUGAUUUAUAGUUUCAUAAACUUGAGAAGAAGCGGGGAGAGAGGAAUUGGAACGCGGAGUACCAUGGAAAGUAUAUUUUACAUUUAUGUGCUCAGAGACUACUGCAAGCGACUAAUCAUCGCGAGGGCAUCAGGUCCCACAUUAAUAGAGAUAUUUGGAUUCUGUUCGAUAAAGUAAAGCCUCGGUAAACGAGCGUAUCUUCCUUAUCAAUUUUAACGGCACGCUGUCCGCCAUAAUGCUCGAACACGCAGUAAGACCAGCAUCGUUCUCGUAUCGCAGCAUCGAAACACGGACUUUAUUACGAGACACGCACCGUGAAUACGAGAGAUCCGCGACUUCUCCGAGUCGUCGAUCCAUU